This 484-nucleotide ribosomal RNA is filed under the name uncultured bacterium. RNAcentral describes it as "partial 16S ribosomal RNA". It matches the Rfam family "Bacterial small subunit ribosomal RNA", at positions 30 to 507 of the family's 1533-position model. The record is from RNAcentral.
AUUGAACGCUGGCGGCAGGCCUAACACAUGCAAGUCGAGCGGAUGAAGGGAGCUUGCUCCUGGAUUCAGCGGCGGACGGGUGAGUAAUGCCUAGGAAUCUGCCUGGUAGUGGGGGAUAACGUCCGGAAACGGGCGCUAAUACCGCAUACGUCCUGAGGGAGAAAGUGGGGGAUCUUCGGACCUCACGCUAUCAGAUGAGCCUAGGUCGGAUUAGCUAGUUGGUGGGGUAAAGGCCUACCAAGGCGACGAUCGGUAACUGGUCUGAGAGGAUGAUCAGUCACACUGGAACUGAGACACGGUCCAGACUCCUACGGGAGGCAGCAGUGGGGAAUAUUGGACAAUGGGCGAAAGCCUGAUCCAGCCAUGCCGCGUGUAUGAAGAAGGUCUUCGGAUUGUAAAGCACUUUAAGUUGGGAGGAAGGGCAGUAAGUUAAUACCUUGCUGUUUUGACGUUACCAACAGAAUAAGCACCGGCUAACUUCGUG